RNAcentral lists this small RNA (76 nucleotides) under Bacilli bacterium VT-13-104. RNAcentral's name for it is "Bacillaceae-1 RNA". It matches the Rfam family "Bacillaceae-1 RNA". Lineage: Bacteria; Bacillati; Bacillota; Bacilli. The record is from Rfam by way of RNAcentral.
AAAAGUCCAACUUCUACUAAGACCGCCCACGUCCUGUGGGCAGCGUAGAAGUCCUUUUCAUCCUUCUUUUUGAACA